ACGACAAUACAAAAGUUUUAGACAAUGGAAGUUUGGUGCAAAUCCAACGCGGUCCCGCCACUGUAAUAGACUGUAGGAUCAGUCUUAAGUCAGGUCGUUUGUCUAGAAACUUUGAGAAAACUAACCAUUUCGAGGCGAAAGUGGCUGGUUUACA
This 154-nucleotide small RNA is filed under the name Paenibacillus selenitireducens. The record is from RNAcentral. Lineage: Bacteria; Bacillati; Bacillota; Bacilli; Caryophanales; Paenibacillaceae.